GUGAAUCCAAAUAUCACUUUAAGAAAAGGAAUUGCAGUCGUAGUUUGAACGUAAAAACUCUUGUUUUCGGGUAAUUCUGUCAAGAGGGAUACAUGUGAUCUGUAUAGAAAGAAGGAAAAGAGAAAAAAACAAGAAAAAAGAAAAACCAGAGGAUACACUUGGGAUGUGAAAGAGCCACCAAGCAACCUCAUCCUCCCAAAUCAUUCAGGUGAAAGCCAGAAUAGACUGGUUUGACACCCUCUGAUCAAAUAUAUGCAGUUUCAUGAAGGAUGGUGGUGGCUGAGCAACUCUUGCAUAACCAAAAGCUUCAGUUACAAUAUCUCAGGGGGAGAAAAAGAACAUAAAAAAAGAAAAGGUUCAAGACAGACAGAGAAAUAUACGCAACGCUUCUCCUCGGCUUGAUUCGGUUGGCUUUUCCGUGAAGAAACAGAGCAUCAUCAUCUUCAAUCAAUCUCAUGCCUCUAGCGAAAGAACAAAGAACAAAGCCCCAUGCAAGUUUCACUGUCUCUGUUUCUCACUGUUUGCUCGAAUGUAGUAAAAUCUGCGCUUCGCUUUCAGCACCUAUUGUGAAUGGGGUCUGAUCCUCUAGGAACUCUUCUCUUCUGGGACUGGUUUGGGUCGAAAGGCGCCACCGCGGGAGUCGGAGCCAGGAUCUGUCUCUCGAGAAGAUCAUCCACAACAGCUUCUUCAGAGAGUAACAAUCUGCGUGGCAUGUUCUUUACAAGAAGGAGCUUGUUUUCUGUGUGCCAUCUCAGGGCCAUUUCUCUGGUUGUGAGAGCAGAAACGUGAGGAACAAACACCAGAGCUUGUAGCGCGAUGAACAGAAGAAUCAAGACCCCAUGAUUGGAACAAGAACAAGAACAAGAACCCAUGAAUUGACUUGAGAAAACUUUCAUGAAACGGUAUGGGCGAAGAUGGAGGAGUUCUCCAGUGGCACAAUUCCUGUAGAGAUGAGCUUCUUGGGCUGGCCUUUGUUUAUGGCGUUUGCGUGAUGACGAAGGGUGGGUCCUAGAGCAAAUCCAGAGACGUUUUCAAGAUUCCACCACCUCUGUCUCUCAAUCAUAAGCUUCCUGCAACGGAAUCGAAGCAAAUAUAAGGCAGCUCUUUAGAAUAAUGAAGACUCUCUCUUUCUCUCUCUCUCUGACAAGUUUGAAUUGAAAGUUGAUGGUUAGUCGCUCUCUCACUCCACUUAUUGGCAUAUAAUCCUC
This 1208-nucleotide long non-coding RNA is filed under the name Eucalyptus grandis. RNAcentral's name for it is "long non-coding RNA (EGRA_LNC006516)". The record is from RNAcentral. Lineage: Eukaryota; Viridiplantae; Streptophyta; Magnoliopsida; Myrtales; Myrtaceae.